Molecule: long non-coding RNA, 3803 nt
Organism: Anopheles funestus (African malaria mosquito)
Lineage: Eukaryota; Metazoa; Arthropoda; Insecta; Diptera; Culicidae
Exons: 2
Source: RefSeq, a predicted model, not a curated record
UAGUAGAAUUUUUUUCCCCCUUUUUUUUAAAUCAUGUUCUUACUGUUCUCCUCUCGCUCGUUCACUUUCCACUUAUCUCUCGUUGGUUAUGCGUUUUAAUUUUUUGUUUUGAUUUACUUUAUGGCCAGAAAAGUGUGACAAAUACGCUGGUCACAUUUGAGAAGCGAGGCGCCAUCAAUAUUAAAUUUCCACUUCCACUUCCAAAUUCCACUUCUCAAUAGACUCACGUUACGAGGCACCAACCAAACUUGCUUCUACAAAAGAUUUCACAUAAAUUUGUUUUUAUAUUUUUUUGGAACAAACUUUAUAAAACCUUGAUAGAACGUUGCUCAUAAAGUGAUAAAUAUAUUGAGUUUUCUACUACGCAUCCGUUCCGACAAUUUCUCUUCCCUACGCAUUCGCUCAGAAUCUCUCUCUUUCUCUCUCUGUGAUUCUCUCCUUCUUUCUUUCUUUCUUGAUCUCAUGUACAACAAUUAUAGCAUUGUCUUAGUCGAUCUGUUCCACAACCCUUUUUAUAGUGUGCGUUUUGUGCGUGGACCCCGUUGGGGAUCCAAUUACCGGAAGGAGCCAGACUGACAUAUUGUCCCCGUCUCUGCGCCUAUUUUACAGGGGUUUCGAAACGGAAUUGAACUGUUUUUGAAUAUAUUUUUUUUCUAUUCUAAUAAAAAGAGAGCAUUUAGAGUAAGGUCUGCAAUGUUUCCUGUGGAAGAUAAAACUAAUAUUAAUGUCUCUAAAACUUCAAACUAAGAACAAUCUGUUAGCAAAAACAACAAACUGCAUCCAGUAGGAAUACAUUGAGGGAUGAAGUCCCCAACAUUUUGCUUCAGUUUCGAUGUUCUGUUUAGCUGAAUUGGAGUUUUUUUGUGUGGUUCUCUCUGUUUUAUUCUCGCUACAUCCAUACACACUGGUAAAAGGGUGUUUGUUGCGUUUGCUCCCGAUUUCAAAUGCACAUAUUGGUGUGACUGGAUUUUUUUUUUGCCGUCCCGCGUCUAGGUUGAUGUCUGUAUAUUGGUGCGUGGCGAAAAUGCGUACAUCUCUCUCGUUUCAUUCGCUGAAUAUUUCUUGGUCUGAACACACGCAAAAUUUCCAAAAAGGUUCGUUUAGUGCUUUACCGUAUGAAGAUUGGAGUUGCUCUACCGGAACACUAUAUAAAAAUUUAAACGUUUGUACAUUACAGCAAUCAAAAUUAAAACACCGAUCCAUCAGACACCGGAUUACGGAGUAAAGCCUAAAAGCAAAUCAUCUAACAUUGGGAACAAUUUAAAACAACGGAAAAAAAACUUUGCUUCACUUCAAGCUUACAGAUUCAUCCUUCAAAGCACCGAAGAUGACCGCUAUCAAUAAUGGAGGGCGUCGCUUCAAACGGCAAACAAUUCGGUUGAGGAGAGCCAGACAAGUAAUAUGCACUUUACGCCCAUUUGGCUAUGUCGCGGACAACAGAGCCCGUAUACGCAUUCCUUACCGCAACCAACGUACUGUAUACUCGCGGGAAAUUAUAAGCCUCUGCAAUGCACUGUGCAAUAUAGCUCUGGGUGCGACUUUCAGCUGGUUGUUGUUUCGGUGGAUGCUAGGCUAGGGUACGGAUCGGAUCAACCCAACAACGUCAGACAAUGUUACAAUUUGGAUAAUGCGAAAUUCCAUUUUCUAUUUAUUUUUUUUCUAUUUUUGUUAGUUUAUUUUCGGAUAUAGAACGAAAUUUUGUGCGAACGAUUUAACGGAGUUUAUUAGAAUGAAAACGACUGGAAAGGAUAAUAUAUUACGUCUGUAUUACUCUAAUCGGUUUUUGGUACCUCACUGUUAGUUGAAAGUAUGAUGACAAGUAUGAGUAAGGAUUUCCAACUACUUUACUGGAGCGCACCACUUGUUUUGUUAUGGAAUUAUUUAAUUUAAUCUGCUUUUAAGACUACAGAAUGAUAAUUUAAAACAAAUGUUCUAAUGAAAUGAUACAAGAAGGAAUAAAAGAAAGUUUCGUAAACUUCAUUCAAGAAGUAUAAAAAAAAUAAAAUAAAAUAAAUAAUAGAACAUUUAUAAGAGCAUAAUUGAAGAAAAUUCAGACAAGCACCACUCCACAAAGGCAUCAAGGUUAAAGGUAUUAGGCGAUCAGAAGACGAAGACACAGGGAGAAAGCUAUCAUCUGCAUAUAGAAGAUGACCAUCAGGAGGUAGGACAUUACAAACAUCGUUUGACCUAACAAAGUAAAGGGAAGGGGACUAAGCACGCAACUUUAAGAAACAUGAGACGUUCAAUGAAGUGUGGCACACUUCCAAUCGGCCUGGUUCCGGUCUUCCGAUCGUGUUAAGCGAUUGAAGUGAUUAACCGGAUGUUCAGGAUGGAAAUCUAAUGUCAAUAUGGGCAACCUCCUUGAUGUGGUGUACACUUCCUUGGAAAGAUGGACGUGGAGUAAUGGUCAAAAAAUGUGUAGCCAAAUAGCGUUAAUUUUUUUAAUUUUUUAAAAAUUUUUUUAUUUAAAACAUUAUUUGAGUGAAAAGAAACUCAUUGCAACCCAUUGGCAUUAAAAUAAAUCAAUUUAAUUUUUUUUGCAAAAUUUCUCAAAAAAAACGUAAGGGGUAAGCCUUAUGAAAUUUUCGAGUGGAAAAUUUUUUUGAAAUUUUUUUCUGAUUUUUUAUUCUUUUUUUAAUUAAUAGCACUAUUUAAGUGAAAAGAAACUUAUUGCAACAAAUUCCCAUCAAAAUAUAUCACAUUUAAAAUUUUUGCUACAUUGCUCAAAAAUGAGGAAAAAUUUUUAUUUUCUCAAACAGGGUAAGGAACUUGGUUCCUCGAAUAACUUCUGGCACAGACAUCUGAGGGCAUGGCUGUCCAAGAAGAAAAUGUAGCCAUUGGUGCCAUCUAUCGACCACAAGUUAAAGUUUGGCGAUCCGUUGGAUACCGACCGAGUUAUAGGCAAAAGUUGGUGCAAAAAUGAGGAAAAUUUUACACUUUCUCAAACAGGGUAUGGAACUUGGUUCCUCGAAUAACUUCUGGCACAGACAUCUUAGGGCAUGGCCGUCCAAGAAGAAAAUGUAGCCAUUGGUGCCAUCUAUCGACCACAGGUUAAAGAUUGGCAAUUCGUUGGAUACCGACCGAGUUAUAGGCAAAAUUUGGUGCAAAAAUGAGGAAAAUUUUCAUUUUUUUUGAAUUUUUUGAUUUUUUUAUUAUUUUUCACUCUGUUUUUUAUUUCAAGCAUUAUUAGAGUGAAAAGAAACUCAUUGCAACCCAUUGGCAUUAAAAAAAAACAAUUUAAUUUUUUUUGCAAAAUUUCCCAAAAAAAUCGUAAGGGGUAAGCCUUAUGAAAUUUUCGAGUGGAAAAUUUUUUUGAAAUUUUUUUCUGAUUUUUUAUUCUUUUUUUAAUUUAAAGCACUAUUUAAGUGAAAAGAAACUUAUUGCAACAAAUUCCCAUCAAAAUAUAUCACAUUUAAAAUGUUUGCUACAUUGCUCAAAAAUGAGGAAAAAUUAUUAUUUUCUCAAACAGGGUAAGGAACUUGGUUCCUCGAAUAACUUCUGGCACAGACAUCUGAGGGCAUGGCUGUCCAAGAAGAAAAUGUAGCCAUUGGUGCCAUCUAUCGACCACAGGUUAAAGAUUGGCGAUCCGUUGGAUACCGACCGAGUUAUAGGCAAAAUUUGGUGCAAAAAUGACCCUUAGUAAAUUUUCAUUUUUUUGAAUUUUUUGAUUUUUUUAUUAUUUUUCACUCUUUUUUUAUUUCAAGCAUUAUUAGAGUGAAAAGAAACUCAUUGCAACCCAUUGGCAUUAAAAUAAAACAAUUUAAUUUUUUUUGCAAAAUUUCCCAAAAAAAUCGUAAGGGGUA